This 416-nucleotide ribosomal RNA is filed under the name uncultured microorganism. RNAcentral describes it as "bacterial SSU rRNA". It matches the Rfam family "Bacterial small subunit ribosomal RNA", at positions 9 to 423 of the family's 1533-position model. The record is from RNAcentral.
GAGUUUGAUCGUGGCUCAGAUUGAACGCUGGCGGCAUGCCUUACACAUGCAAGUCGAACGGCAGCAUGAUCUAGCUUGCUAGAUUGAUGGCGAGUGGCGAACGGGUGAGUAAUACAUCGGAACGUGCCCUGUAGUGGGGGAUAACUAGUCGAAAGAUUAGCUAAUACCGCAUACGACCUGAGGGUGAAAGUGGGGGACCGCAAGGCCUCAUGCUAUAGGAGCGGCCGAUGUCUGAUUAGCUAGUUGGUGGGGUAAAGGCCCACCAAGGCGACGAUCAGUAGCUGGUCUGAGAGGACGAUCAGCCACACUGGGACUGAGACACGGCCCAGACUCCUACGGGAGGCAGCAGUGGGGAAUUUUGGACAAUGGGCGAAAGCCUGAUCCAGCAAUGCCGCGUGUGUGAAGAAGGCCUCGGU